GAAUUCACUAGUGAUUCAGGCCUAACACAUGCAAGUCGAACGGUAACGCGGGGCAACCUGGCGUCGAGUGGCGAACGGGUGAGUAACGCAUCGGAACGUGCCCAGUAGUGGGGAUAGCCUGGCGAAAGCCGGAUUAAUACCGCAUUCGACCUACGGGUGAAAGGGGGGGAUCGCAAGACCUCUCGCUAUUGGAGCGGCCGAUGUCAGAUUAGGUAGUUGGUGGGGUAAAGGCCUACCAAGCCGACGAUCUGUAGCUGGUUUGAGAGGACGACCAGCCACACUGGGACUGAGACACGGCCCAGACUCCUACGGGAGGCAGCAGCGGGGAAUUUUGGACAAUGGGCGAAAGCCUGAUCCAGCCAGGCCGCGUGCGGGAAGAAGGCCUUCGGGUUGUAAUCCGAUGUGGUCAGGGAAGAAAUCUUCUGGGUUAAUACCUCGGGAGGAUGACGGACCCGAAGAAUAGC
Molecule: ribosomal RNA, 464 nt
Filed under: uncultured bacterium
Lineage: Bacteria
Description: bacterial SSU rRNA
Rfam family: Bacterial small subunit ribosomal RNA
Source: RNAcentral